This 222-nucleotide ribosomal RNA is filed under the name uncultured bacterium. RNAcentral's name for it is "partial 16S ribosomal RNA". It matches the Rfam family "Bacterial small subunit ribosomal RNA", at positions 28 to 250 of the family's 1533-position model. The record is from RNAcentral.
GACGAACGCUGGCGGCGUGCUUAACACAUGCAAGUCGAGCGGUAAGGCCCUUUCGGGGGUACACGAGCGGCGAACGGGUGAGUAACACGUGGGUGACCUGCCCUCAGCUCUGGGAUAAGCCUGGGAAACCGGGUCUAAUACUGGAUAUGACUCCAUGACGCAUGUUGGUGGGGUGGAAAGCCUUGUGCGGCUGAGGAUGGGCCCGCGGCCUAUCAGCUUGUU